Non-coding RNA from Mycena latifolia, 92 nucleotides. NCBI's taxonomy places the organism in Eukaryota, Fungi, Basidiomycota, Agaricomycetes, Agaricales, Mycenaceae. The record is from the annotation of a GenBank genome assembly.
GACCUAGUGGUGAAUGGCUCACACCUGUUUCUCUUUACGAAGUCGAGACCAGGAUACAGCAGGAGCUCCCGGUUCAACUCCGGGCUAGGUCA